This is a long non-coding RNA of Paramacrobiotus metropolitanus, 2097 nucleotides long. RefSeq lists it as uncharacterized. Lineage: Eukaryota; Metazoa; Tardigrada; Eutardigrada; Parachela; Macrobiotidae. The transcript is spliced from 2 exons. The record is from RefSeq and is a predicted model, not a curated record.
UCACUUGUAGUCACGGGCUCGUGCGGUUUGGUUGCCCCAGUAUCACCUUCCAUCUGCCAGAUUUUGCCCGCCGCCUUGGCAGUUCGAAGUACAGCCGUUGUUGUUAUUCACGAUUAACCGACUCGUCAACAAGAAGAGCAUGAACUUCGCCUCAGAAGUACCAUUUCAUAAUAUAUUGCUGAUUGCUGUAAUUAAGCAUCGCUGCAGCAGUGAAGUUUGACAGUUAUAUUUUUUUUAAACGUGAUUUGGGUUACCACGUUCAGUGACUGCACGAGACCCCUAUCGACCUCGGGGCUUUUGUUUAGAUGGCUAAUGGGAUUUGAGAAUCCGCUUCCGGGUGCUAUAAUAAACCUUAACUUGGUGGCCAAAGUGGACCAAUCAUGUGAACGCGGAACUCAAUGCCUGGUUCCUAGACGACGGAACCCUGGGCGGUGCACCGACGACGGUUGCUGAUUGUUUCCGCCGACUUAUUGAAGGCGCGCUUGCUGUCGGUUUGCAAGUUAACGAGGCUAAAUGCGAACUGCUGGUAUUUGGUGGGUCAUCUGAAUCGCAGCGCGAUGUCACAGCGGAAUUCUCGAGCGUUACCCACAACUACGUAUUCUGACGGAAUCCACCAUGUCUUUACUCGGUGCACUCGUACUGGAUGAAGCAAUCGGGCCUGUACUGAACGAGAAGGCCAGUACCUUGAAGUUGAUGUGUGAACGACUUCAGUUACUACCUGGUCAUCAAGCCUUGUUUCUCCUUAAAAAUUGUCUCGGCGCCCCGAAAAUUAUCUACAUGUUGCGGUACUGUAAUGCAUGGAAAUACCCCGCAUUACUAUAUCAGCUGGACGAAGCAAUGCGCUGCUGUUUCCAGAAUUUGUCGAAUGUACUGACUAAUCACAACGACUACCCGCCUUGGCGUCAAGCAACGUUACCGGUUAGCAGAGGUGGAAUCGGCAUCCGCCGGUCGGAAGAAUUAUCCCUUCCAGCCUUCCUGGCUUCGAUUCAUUCCGUAUCCGGUUUGCUAUCCGCACUGCUGCCUAACCACGCCGCUGCUGACGUCACUGGUGCCUCGGAGUCAUGGAAAUUAAAAGCCCGUCAACCCGUACUCCCGGAAGCUGCAUUUCGGAAGUCCCAAAAGGCCUGAGACUUGCCAUUAUUCAACGUGUCUCUUGCGGCCCUGCUGGAGGUGUUUCAAGACGAAGUCAACACAGCGCGCCUGCUUGCCCAGUCCAGACCAGAGGCCGGCAUCUGGUUGAACGCAUUACCGUCCGCUCACAUCGGUAAUCUACUGGGCGAUGACGAACUGAAGAUCAGCAUCGGCCGCCGUCUCGGUGCUACAAUUUGUGAACCCCACGACUGCGUCAAGUGCCACAAACCUGUUGGUUUUUUACGGGCACCACGGGCUGUCAUGUGCCUUUUCCGCCGGGCUGCAUCCACGUCACGGCGCGUUGAACAGCAUUGUCUGCAGAGCCUUUGUAUCCGCUGGUGUGCCCGGGAAACUGGAGCCGCAAGGCACCUCUCACACCAAUGAACGCCGCCCAGAUGGCUGCACGACUUUUGCAUGGAAACGCGGAUUAUGCCUCGCUUGGGACGUGACCUGUGUAGACACUGUUACGCUUUCACAUGUCAAGGCCACUUCCACCACAGCCGGAGCGGCCGCCAUGCAAGCAGAGUUACGGAAAUCAGGACUAUAUUCCUCUGGUCGGCCGCUAACUAUUCGUCCCGAUCGCCUUCGAAACACUGGACCCGUGGGGACCGUCGGCGAUCGCCAUCAUCAAAGAACUGGGAAAAAGACUGCAGCAGCACACCGGAGAAGCACGCUCGCACGAAUUUCUGCGGCAGCGAUUGUCCAUAGAAAUUCAACGGGGAAAUGCGGCGUCAGUGCUGGGCACGAUGGAAGGACUGGAUAAGCUGAACGAAAUUUUUCUGUUAUAGUUUAGCGUGUUUUCUUUUCUUCAAAUUGGUGUAUUGAGGCACUGAUUUGACCAAUAAAGUAAUGAAUAUCGUAUGACAUUCUGACUACAGGAUGCACGCAAACAAUGGAAAAAAAUUAUUUGUCGGUGCACGAAAGCUGAAAUGCAUAAUACAAAUGUAUAAACUCAUGUUACUUUGA